UGGGGUUGUGGCUCAGCGGUAGAGCGCUUACCUAGCACGUGUGAGACAUGGGUUCGAUCCUCAGCACCACAA
Molecule: transfer RNA, 72 nt
Filed under: Marmota monax (woodchuck)
Lineage: Eukaryota; Metazoa; Chordata; Mammalia; Rodentia; Sciuridae
Description: tRNA.Ala
Rfam family: tRNA
About the family: Transfer RNA (tRNA) molecules are approximately 80 nucleotides in length.
Source: RNAcentral